AACGCACAUUGCGCCCGCCAGUAUUCUGGCGGGCAUGCCUGUUCGAGCGUCAUUUCAACCCUCAAGCCCCCGGGCUUGGUGUUGGAGAUCGGCGUGCCCCCCGGGGCGCGCCGGCUCCCAAAUAUAGUGGCGGUCUCGCUGUAGCUUCCUCUGCGUAGUAGCACACCUCGCACUGGAAAACAGCGUGGCCACGCCGUUAAACCCCCCACUUCUGAAAGGUUGACCUCGGAUCAGGUAGGAAUACCCGCUGAACUUAA
Molecule: unclassified non-coding RNA, 257 nt
Filed under: Neonectria sp.
Lineage: Eukaryota; Fungi; Ascomycota; Sordariomycetes; Hypocreales; Nectriaceae
Also listed under: 4 other names
Description: partial contains 5.8S ribosomal RNA, internal transcribed spacer 2, and large subunit ribosomal RNA
Rfam family: 5.8S ribosomal RNA (bases 1-52)
Source: RNAcentral